Molecule: long non-coding RNA, 331 nt
Filed under: Brassica rapa (field mustard)
Lineage: Eukaryota; Viridiplantae; Streptophyta; Magnoliopsida; Brassicales; Brassicaceae
Description: long non-coding RNA (BRAP_LNC006081)
Source: RNAcentral
AAGCAAUCUGGAGAGAAUUUGUCACAGGACUCGAAGGCCCAGAUGCAGCAACGCCGAGAUCGGCGAGGGAGAUUGACUUGUUCUUUUUAAUUGCCAUAGCACCACGCUUCCUGGCAGGACGCGCUAGACGGAAGACCUUGAAAGGCAGAGCGAGGAGCGGACGAGGUUUCUUUUUCUUAGCAAGCAUCGCGACAUGGGAGAGGGAAACAGGGGAACAGAAGGGGAGAGGCGAAGAGUUCUCGCCGGAGAGCGUGGUGCCCACCGACGGCGGAGGAGAGGAUGAGAAACAAUCCCCCAAAAGAUCGCACUUUUUAGAGAGAGAAAGUAGCCG